This 416-nucleotide ribosomal RNA is filed under the name Ixodes scapularis (black-legged tick). Its description in RNAcentral is "eukaryotic large subunit ribosomal RNA". It matches the Rfam family "Eukaryotic large subunit ribosomal RNA", at positions 1552 to 1882 of the family's 3401-position model. Lineage: Eukaryota; Metazoa; Arthropoda; Arachnida; Ixodida; Ixodidae. The record is from RNAcentral.
GGAACCAUGCCGUCCCAGAAUUUACCCGUUUGGUCCCUUGACAGGCCUCUGAAACCAAGACGACCGAUUUUGGUCGGGGUCAGUAUUAGCCCCGCAGUGACCGAAAGGGAAUCGGGUUAAUAAUCCCGAACCCGGACACGGAGAUUGGUCCUUCGGGGCCCAGUGCGGUAACGCAAACCAGCUCGGAGACGCCGAUGCGAGCCCCGGGAAGAGUUUUCUUUUAUCUGUAAGUCUGUAAGGAGAUCGAGUCUCUGGAAUGGGUUCGCCCCGAGAUAGGGAUGGUGGCUCCGUAGAGCAGUGCGGCUCUUGCGCUGUCCGGUGCGCUCGCGUCGGCCCUUGAAAAUCCGAGUGAGGGAGUGUGAUUUUCAUGCCGGACCGUACCCACAUCCGCAGCAGGUCUCCAAGGUGAACAGCCU